RNAcentral lists this small nuclear RNA (23 nucleotides) under Arabidopsis thaliana (thale cress). RNAcentral's name for it is "snRNA_00816". Lineage: Eukaryota; Viridiplantae; Streptophyta; Magnoliopsida; Brassicales; Brassicaceae. The record is from RNAcentral.
GAUUACGGUGGCGGCCUAAGCCC